Long non-coding RNA from Nematostella vectensis (starlet sea anemone), 1011 nucleotides. RefSeq lists it as uncharacterized. The record is from RefSeq and is a predicted model, not a curated record. Lineage: Eukaryota; Metazoa; Cnidaria; Anthozoa; Actiniaria; Edwardsiidae. The transcript is spliced from 3 exons.
CGUUGUAAUCCGUUUUUCUCUCCCUUCCCCGAAAGCAUGGCUUCGGCGAAUGGGCUGGAAGACGACCUCAUCGAUUUGGAAUUGGACAACACUCGAGAUGAGAAGAUUUUGAUCGACUUGACAAUCGAAGUCCCAAAUUCGUCCCAAAAACCUGUAAUGCCAAGUGGAGUCUGCCUCACACAACAAAAGAUGGAAGAAACUUUAUGGUCCCACGCACUUUCCAUUCCUGUCUAAAAUGGGAGUGCGUGGGAUCUACCUUUCCCGAAGAUAGCACCAUAAGAAAACCUCCCGUUGGUUUAAAGUGGACCCAAAUGCAGAGUUCUCUCCAGAUGAGUGGCAGGUGAUAACGUUCUUGGACUUCCCAUUGUUGUAAGACUAAACGGGAUACCACCUACUUCAAAAUUGCGCUUCAAGUGCCUCGUAUUCUUGGCAGUUUGUUCGAUGACAUAAGUUAUUAUGAUACGUUAAUGUUUCGUGACUUUGUCUUCGCCAUAAAAGCGUUGACUGUAUUUAUCCACUUCAGUAUUUUUGCUCCUUGUUUACAUUCGUUAUUCGUUUGUGAAGGUUAUGAAAUGGUAGCAGCACAAGAGUAAGCGAAGUACCAUGAUUUUGACCAUAUGGACUGUGUGGACUUUUUUGCGGAAUCCAUUUUACUGUUCAAGUUAUAUACACAAUGUUACUGAAGUAUGUCAUUAUUUAUAUUAUACAGUCGUUUUUGUUCAUUAUUUACAUACGUUAUUCGUUUGUUAAGGUUAUGAAAUAGUGGCAGCACAAGAGUAAGUGAAAAACAAUGUAUGGCUAAUGAUUUUUGACCAUAUAUACUGUGGACUUUUCAUAGGAAUGCAUGUUACUUUUCAAGUAUACUCCUUAGGCAUAUAACUAUUUAUAUCAGUCUUGAAUAAACAAGAAGAAAGAAGAAGACAAAAGGGAUAUGUAUUUUUUUUAUCAAAAUAUUUUGGCAAAUGACUGUUUAUUUUUAUAUUAUGAGGGCUUUAUGAGAUUGAUUUUGAA